CUACGGGCGGCACCAGUGGGGAAUAUUACACAAUGGGCGCAAGCCUGAUGCAGCCAUGCCGCGUGUAUGAAGAAGGCCUUCGGGUUGUAAAGUACUUUCAGCGGGGAGGAAGGGAGUAAAGUUAAUACCUUUGCUCAUUGACGUUACCCGCAGAAGAAGCACCGGCGAACUCCGUGCCAGCAGCCGCGGUAAUACGGAGGGUGCAAGCGUUAAUCGGAAUUACUGGGCGUAAAGCGCACGCAGGCGGUUUGUUAAGUCAGAUGUGAAAUCCCCGGGCUCAACCUGGGAACUGCAUCUGAUACUGGCAAGCUUGAGUAUCGUAGAGGGGGGUAGAAUUCCAGGUGUAGCGGUGAAAUGCGUAGAGAUCUGGAGGAAUACCGGUGGCGAAGGCGGCCCCCUGGACGAAGACUGACGCUCAGGUGCGAAAGCGUGGGGAGUAAACAGGAUUAGAUACCCCCGUAGUC
RNAcentral lists this ribosomal RNA (464 nucleotides) under uncultured bacterium. RNAcentral describes it as "partial 16S ribosomal RNA". It matches the Rfam family "Bacterial small subunit ribosomal RNA", at positions 339 to 795 of the family's 1533-position model. The record is from RNAcentral.